This is an unclassified non-coding RNA of Mustela putorius furo (domestic ferret), 332 nucleotides long. Its record names the gene 7SK. It matches the Rfam family "7SK RNA". Rfam says of the family: 7SK was discovered as an abundant small nuclear RNA in the mid-70s but a possible function has only recently been suggested. Two independent studies have found that 7SK RNA binds the CDK9/cyclin T complex (known as elongation factor P-TEFb). P-TEFb activates transcription by phosphorylating the C-terminal domain of RNA polymerase II. The record is from Ensembl. Lineage: Eukaryota; Metazoa; Chordata; Mammalia; Carnivora; Mustelidae.
GGCUGGGAGGGUGAUCUGGCUGCGACAUCCAUCACCCCACUGAUCACCACGGUUGAUUCAGCCAAUCUGGCUGGCCAGGCGGGGGUCCCCUUCCUCCCUCACUGCUCCAGGUACAUCCCUCCUGAAGCUGCACAAUCGGUCGAAGAGGACGACCUUCCCCAAUAGAGGAGAGGACCGUUCUUCGGUCAAGGGUAGAAGGGUAGCCGCGCCCCAUCCAGAGUCUCCAAAUAAGCUCUCAAGGUCCAUCUGUAGGAGAAUGGAGGGCAGUCAAGCUUCUAAGACUCCAGACACAUCCAAAGGGAGGCACUGCAUGGGGCCAAUUGCCUAUGAGU